RNAcentral lists this ribosomal RNA (459 nucleotides) under uncultured bacterium. RNAcentral describes it as "partial 16S ribosomal RNA". It matches the Rfam family "Bacterial small subunit ribosomal RNA", at positions 338 to 795 of the family's 1533-position model. The record is from RNAcentral.
CCUACGGGUGGCAGCAGUGAGGAAUAUUGGUCAAUGGGCGAGAUCCUGAACCAGCCAAGCCGCGUGAGGGAAGACGGUCCUAUGGGUUGUAAACCUCUUUUGCCGGGGAACAAAACGCGGUACGUGUACCGCAUCGCGAGUAUCCGAAGAAAAAGCAUCGGCUAACUCCGUGCCAGCAGCCGCGGUAAUACGGAGGAUGCGAGCGUUAUCCGGAUUUAUUGGGUUUAAAGGGUGCGCAGGCGGUGCGUUAAGUCAGCGGUAAAAUUUCGGGGCUCAACCCCGACAAGCCGUUGAAACUGGCAGGCUAGAGUGGGCGAGAAGUAUGCGGAAUGCGUGGUGUAGCGGUGAAAUGCAUAGAUAUCGCGCAGAACUCCGAUUGCGAAGGCAGCAUACCGGCGCCCGACUGACGCUCAGGCACGAAAGCGUGGGUAUCGAACAGGAUUAGAUACCCUUGUAGUC